This is a long non-coding RNA of Astatotilapia calliptera (eastern happy), 1100 nucleotides long. The record is from Ensembl. Lineage: Eukaryota; Metazoa; Chordata; Actinopteri; Cichliformes; Cichlidae.
CAUGGCUGUCCUCUUUCAUCCAAUGUGUUUACUAUUGUACUAGGUGUUAUGGUUCUUUCAUAAAUGUCACCAAUGCACAGCCUCCUCCCUCCAACUCUUCCAUAGACUCUAAUGUUAAAAUGGCUCAGAAGGUUCGUUUGAAAAUCAGAAGAGCAUGGUGUCUUUACACUGUCACCACGUCCAUAUAAUAAACUCCACAGGCAUGAAAACUGAGAAUUCGGUAGACUAGAAGCUGCUGUCGCUCACGGUGAAAGAAUUUUGUCAAUACGACUUUUACUUUUCAUUUGGGAACGAUUUGUUUCGGCCUGACUUUUCUGUUCAUUUUAAGCAGCAAAAGUGAGGCGCAUGUCUGUGUACGUGUGUAUGGAGCCAUUGGGUGCGGUCACUAUAGCAACCAGGCUCACACCUGCCUGCUUAACGAGCUCUGCCUGCCACUGUGCCAAGAUUCAUCUUAAACACUUCUCUUUCAACUGCUGCUGUGUCCACAGUGUUUGCUUUACAGCCAUCAUUUUACCCUCAAAUUGUCGCCAUUAUUGUUCUCUUUCCAACACCGUAUCUUUCAAAGCUCAGGCAUUUAAACUUUUUAAACUGUGUGGAUCAAAGUGGAGGGAUCACAUUUGAGUCAUUCAGUGAUUCAAAGAAUAUGACCUUUUAAUAUUCAUUCAGAUGUUUUCUGACUCUAAAUGUUCUUUUCUCAUUUCUUAGGGUUUUCUAAUUUACAUUUAAAACAUUUUCAGUUUUUUUCCAACUCCUUCUUCUGUGUAACCUUCAGCUUUUAGCAGUUCAGCACCUUUGUUUUCAGGUUAAAUUCGUUGUUUUUUUUGUUUUUUUAUCUCAUUCAAAAUUUUUAACUCAAAAUUCAGCAAUUAAUUCAUUUCAGUCCAUACAUUCAGAUUCAAGCAUUCACACUGCAGUUUCUUCAGAAAAUGCACUUUCUAGUUAGUUUUUGUCCUUAUAAUUACUGUUGUUAUUGAUAAUUGUUAAUUUGAUUAUUAAUAAAAGUUGAACAGAGUUUUCAAGACUAAUUCACAAGAGCAAUUCAUUUCCUUUAUCAUUUUGUUCUCUAAUUAAAUUGAAGGUGGCAUCCAUAUUUUAAUAAC